CACUUUGUCUUUAUGGCAAAUGUGAGAUGCAGUGUAUGGAAUGUCAAAUUUCUAGUAUGAGAAAUUAACGAUUUAAGUCCUUCUUAAAUGAGGCCAUUUACCCAAAGAGGGUGCCAGGCCCGUAUAACGUUAAUGAUUACUAGAUGGCAUUUCCAAAGAGUCGUGUUGCUUGAUAGUGCAGCACUAAGUGGGUGGUAAACUCCAUCUAAAACUAAAUAUAACCAUGAGACCGAUAGUAAACAAGUACCGUGAGGGAAAGUUGAAAAGAACUCUGAAUAGAGAGUUAAAUAGUACGUGAAACUGCUUAGAGGUUAAGCCCGAUGAACCUGAAUAUCUAUUACAGAAAAUUCAUCAUUAUGAAUGUAAUAUUAAUUUAAUAUUAUAACAAUAGUGUGCAUUUUUUCUGUAGAGGACAUUGUAAUCUAUUGACAUAAACUAAAUUUAUCAAAAGAUCAACUGCGCUAGUUUAUUCGAAUUAUUUUGCUUGCAAUUUAACAUAGGAUAAAUGCUUUUGAUUUGAUAAAGUGUCGAUAGAUUUAUUAUAUAUAGUGCUUGAAUAUUUUUAAUAUUCUAUAAUAGCAUAUUAAUUAUUAAUUUUUAUGUUUAUUGUAUGCACUUAUAUGAUUAACAAUGCGAAAGAUUCAGGAUACCUUCGGGACCCGUCUUGAAACACGGACCAAGGAGUCUAACAUAUUUGCAAGUUAUUGGGAAUAAAAACCUAAUAGCGGAAUUAACAUAACUUAAAUUAAUUGGGAUUAAUUUUUAGCCUAUUUAUAGUCUAUUAAUUCAAUCCCGGGGCGUUCUAUACAGUUAUGUAUAAUAAUAUUUAUAUUAUUUAUACCUCUAACUGGAACGUACCUUGAGCAUAUAUGCUAUGACCCGAAAGAUGGUGAACUAUACUUGAUCAGGUUGAAGUCAGGGGAAACCCUGAUGGAAGACCGAAACAGUUCUGACGUGCAAAUCGAUUGUCAGAAUUGCAGUAUAGG
This 986-nucleotide ribosomal RNA is filed under the name Chaetogaedia monticola. RNAcentral describes it as "eukaryotic LSU rRNA". It matches the Rfam family "Eukaryotic large subunit ribosomal RNA", at positions 120 to 921 of the family's 3401-position model. The record is from RNAcentral. Lineage: Eukaryota; Metazoa; Arthropoda; Insecta; Diptera; Tachinidae.